UGCCAGCAGCCGCGGUAAUACGGAGGGUGCAAGCGUUAAUCGGAAUUACUGGGCGUAAAGCGUGCGUAGGCGGCUACCUAAGUUGGAUGUGAAAGCCCCGGGCUCAACCUGGGAACUGCAUCCAAAACUGGGUGGCUAGAGUACGGGAGAGGAGUGUGGAAUUUCCUGUGUAGCGGUGAAAUGCGUAGAUAUAGGAAGGAACACCAGUGGCGAAGGCGACACUCUGGCCUGAUACUGACGCUGAGGUACGAAAGCGUGGGGAGCAAACAGGAUUAGAUA
RNAcentral lists this ribosomal RNA (279 nucleotides) under uncultured bacterium. RNAcentral describes it as "partial 16S ribosomal RNA". It matches the Rfam family "Bacterial small subunit ribosomal RNA", at positions 506 to 784 of the family's 1533-position model. The record is from RNAcentral.